CAUGCGUACCGGGUUCAUUGUCACAUUAUCCUAUUAUGUUAUGGAUGCGGUGGUGGAGUGUACGUGCACGCGUUCUUGAACAUACAUAGCUAGUCUAGUCGUUGUCAAUGGAAGGAGCACCUAGUUUUGAAGUGUUCAUUGCGUGACUGCGGAAGCCGACUCUCACGUAAUUUGGAUACAAAGAACAAGUUUCGGAAUGUAUUUCACAUGAUUCAUUCAAAUUUCUUUUUAUCCACUGACGGAGGUUCUGUUUGUCGAUUUUGUAUUUUGUUGCCACACAUUGUUCAGAGAUGAUGCUCUACCUUCCUUCACAAUAUUCAAUUUUCAGAUCUCUUUUCUCUUCGUGGACAGUUCUUGGCAAAUGGCAAACUAAACAAUGAGUGUGAACAAUGUGGGAUACCAGUCUUCGGCUCCAAGGCAUGGGUUACUGUUCAAACAUGGGUUACUAUCAUUUCAAACUGAUCAGAUCCGUCAGUUAUAUUCGAGUACAGUUUAUUAUUCAAGGAAAUAUGAAAGUGUGAAGAAAGAAUGAAGACGGUAAAGCAGCAAUGAUGUAUACUGGGUAUAUUUAUGUAUUUUUAAUAGUGUAGUACAGUACGGUGCAGAUGUAACACUACAUCAAAGGUUUCACUGAUCAACUAUUUAUAUAUAUACCGUAUUCGCCCGUAAUAACGCCCAUGCCCGUAUAUACGCCCAUGUGCGACAGGUCAGAACUUUCAGCCCGAAAAAAACCCCAUGCCCAACUAUACGCCCAGAAUACGCAUGCGCAGACAAAGCAAAAUGGGUCCGCAGAACAUUCGUCUCCGUCUGUGUGCGUUUGAUGAGCUGGUGUCAAUGUUGAGUGAAAGUGCUUGCCGCUAGACUCAUGUCUUCGUUGCAAUUACCGCCCCUGAUGCUCUUGACGGGCUUCAGUCCGACCACGUGUGCAUAGUGUUUAGUUUCUGCGUGUAUGUAUGUUGAUGCUGAAUGGAUACCAGUACCUUAGAUCUUGCAAAUGGAUAAUUGUAAGCAUUUGUGGUAUUUCUGUCUUCAAGUAUUUAGAUGAUGACUGGCCAGACGACAACAUUUAGUGACCAUGUGUACGCCUAGGACCAAAAUAACGCCCAUGCCCUAG
Molecule: long non-coding RNA, 1114 nt
Organism: Corticium candelabrum
Lineage: Eukaryota; Metazoa; Porifera; Homoscleromorpha; Homosclerophorida; Plakinidae
Exons: 3
Source: RefSeq, a predicted model, not a curated record